AAAAACAUGGCCUUUUGAUCAUAAUUUAAGGUCUAGCCUGCCCAAUGAGUGUUUCUUUAAUGGCCGCAGUAUCUUGACUGUGCAAAGGUAGCAUAAUCAAUAGUUUUUUAAUUGAAAGCUGGAAUGAAAGGUCUUAUGAGAAAAUAGCUGUCUCUAUUAAAAUUUAUUAGAACUUUAUUUUUAAGUCAAAAAGCUUAGAUUUAAAUAGAAGACGAGAAGACCCUAUAGAGUUUUAUAAUUUAUUGUAUGCAUUACUUUAGUAUUUAAUAUUUUGUAUAUUUUAAAUUAUUUGGUUGGGGUGAUUGGAAAAUUAAGUAAACUUUUUCUUAUUAAAGCAUUAAUUUAUGGUUAUAUGAUCCUUAUUUAAAGAUUAAAAGAUAAAAUUACCUUAGGGAUAACAGCGUAAUUUUUUUUGAGAGUUCUUAUCGAAAAAAAAGAUUGCGACCUCGAUGUUGGAUUAAAAUUUAUAUUUGGUGUAGAAGCUACAAUAUUAGGUCUGUUCGACCUUUAAAAUUUUACUUGAUCUGAGUU
RNAcentral lists this ribosomal RNA (531 nucleotides) under Eubrychius velutus. RNAcentral's name for it is "partial 16S ribosomal RNA". It matches the Rfam family "Bacterial large subunit ribosomal RNA", at positions 1809 to 2611 of the family's 2925-position model. Lineage: Eukaryota; Metazoa; Arthropoda; Insecta; Coleoptera; Curculionidae. The record is from RNAcentral.